AUGUUCACACAGCAGCAGUGUCUUCACUAGCGAGGUCAAUCCAAGGCAUGGUAUUUGCUCACUGAAAACUGUUCCAAUAUUGUUCCCUCAUGACUAGAAAUUCAACACUGGCAAUUUUUGACCACCUCCAAGGAGA
This 136-nucleotide small nuclear RNA is filed under the name Calidris pugnax (ruff). Its description in RNAcentral is "U4 spliceosomal RNA (ENSCPUG00000004325.1)". Lineage: Eukaryota; Metazoa; Chordata; Aves; Charadriiformes; Scolopacidae. The record is from RNAcentral.